Long non-coding RNA from Nymphaea colorata (pocket water lily), 388 nucleotides. RefSeq lists it as uncharacterized. NCBI's taxonomy places the organism in Eukaryota, Viridiplantae, Streptophyta, Magnoliopsida, Nymphaeales, Nymphaeaceae. The record is from RefSeq and is a predicted model, not a curated record. The transcript has 2 exons.
GAAAGCCAGAUGGAGAGCGCGGGAGAAGGGAAGGGAGUCCUUCCAAAUACGCGAUCGAGGUAUUGAAUUCUUUCUUUCCUUGAUCACCUGGUAACGAAAGAUGUAUUGGACCUAUGAAGCAGCAGAGCAUAGAUGGUUGAAUCCGGGGGUAUGUACUGUCUAAAAGGAAUGAGUCGCCAUGCCUUUUCCUGUGUCUGGUUUGCUGCCAAUAAUUGGCUUGAUCUACUUGACCUGCAUGAUUGGCUAGCUUUUAGAUAUUUGGAGGCAAUCGAGAGAGUUGUGGAGAAAGAGAUGCAUAAUGUAAAUCAGAGGAGCACUCUUGAUUUUGAGGUUUGUGAUGUAAGGCUGUUGGCGUGUUGAAAAAAUUUUGGCUCAUUUCUUGAUUUUC